GUGGCACUGGGUAAUACAUAUUAUAUUCGUAAAAAGAUCCCAGUUGGGCCAAGUAUGUUGUUCUCAACAGAUUACAAAUGUACCUACCUACUUACCUACCGUACUAAAUACGAAAUUACGCAUGUACCUACGUGAAUUUUACUUUUAUGUGAAAUAUUUUCAAAGUGAACUAAACUUAUUUUGUAGUUGAAAGUUAUGGAAAAAUUAUCUGAAUUAUCGUUUUGGUGCAAAUGGAGGAGGCCAGUAUCGGUUCCUUAUCCAAACACUUGGCAUAGAUUUACUGCGAAAACAAAAGAUGGUAAAGACUGUAAAAUAAAAAUUGUAGAUCUGACUCCGGACAGAUUUGAAGAAAGUAUAGAAUUUACAAAAAAAUAUUUUUAUUUGCAAGAACCAUUGACUGUAUCAUCAAAACUUUUGGAUGAUGAAAUAAGCUUUCAUAAUUACCUAUGCGAAAACAAAGCAAUUUUGCAGCAGCAAAUCAGCAUCAUUGCUGUAUUAGAUGAAGAUGUCCCAAAACCAGAAAUAGUCGGAACUAUGAAACUUCUAGUGGCUUCCAAAGAAGAUAAUCCAAUGCCACACAUACCUGGAGAUAAGUUACAAGAAAGACAUUUGCUAAUCGGAAACCUUAUGAAAAAUCACAACCCCUUGGAAAUUUUCAACCUAGAUAAAGUGAUACGUGGCAAAGAAUUAUGUGUAAAAACUGAAUACGCUGGAAUGAACAUAGGCUACAAUAUUCUUCUUACCAUUGAAAAACUCGCGAAAGCUUUUCAUAUUAAAGCAUCUAUGAUUAUUUGUAGUAAUAUUCGGUCUCAAGUUUUAGCUGAAAAAGCAGGCUACAAGAUGUUGAAUGAAAUUGUUUAUGAUGAUUUUAAAGAUGAUCAAGGACGAAUUCUAUUUCCUAUUGAAGGAACAAAGUCGAUAAAACUUAUGGCAACGGAGUUUACUCAGAUUGAUUCAAAGUGACCAGAAAAAAUUUCGCGUUUUUACUCUCAAAAUGAUAGGCGAGUAAGUAUCGCAUUAAGCAUGAAAAAUGAAUGAAUAUGGAAUUGAAAUUGAAGUGAUUUGGAAAAAUAAUCAAAAAGAAAAAUUGAGUAUGAAAUCAUUGUCGAACACGCAGCACUGAAUAAUGAAUGUUAUGUCUGUUUUCGUAUUGACAAUCUGUUGUCGAAAAUUUGAAAAAAUAGGAAUUUACGUAUAUAUUUAGACUUUUUAUUAUUAAUUUAAUUUCUAAUUAAUUGAUUGUGUCCCUUCGAAAAAAAUUGUCAAUAUACAGGGUGUUCCAGAAUAACCUUUCACAUUUUGGUGAGCACUGAUCUGCGUUCAAAUGGUGUUAGGGGAAUGGUAAAAGCGGUUCCAGGUAGCCAACACAUGCCGAAUUAUGUUUCAGUAUUAAUUUUUUACCAUGGAGAAGUGGACGGCUGUGCAGCGCGCUUUUAUUGUAAAGGCCUUUUUCAAAAAUAAUGACUCUUACAUUAGUGCAAUUCGUGCCUUCCGCAAACAUUUUAAACUUACCGGUAAAAGUGAAGUGCCAUCGAGGCCAACAGUGAAAUUAUGGGUAAAAAACUUCGAGAAAACCGCUCAUGCUUGUAAAAAUAAGCCUACAGGUCGGAAAAGAUCAGUAAGAACGCCAGAAACAACGGACCGAGUAAGGCAUUCAGUACAGACUACCCCUACCACUUCAAUACGUAAACGAGCGUUAAAUUUAAAAAUCAAACCAACUUCUCUGCAACGAAUUUUAUCUGAAGACCUCAGUUUCCAUCCAUAUAAGAUUUUAAUCAUUCAAAAGUUACAAAAAACUGAUUUUGUGAGAAGAAAAUCAUUUGCCGAGGAUAUGCUUACAAGAAUUGAUACUGGUGAGAUUCCAUUGAACUCGUUACUCUUUACUGAUGAAGCUCAUUCUUAUCUAAACGGUGAUGUGAAUAAACAAAAUAUGCGCUACUGGUCGACAGAGAAUCCGAUGAUAAUACACGAGAAACCUCUACACUCCGCUAAGUUGACUGUUUGGAUGGGCGUGGCUAAAUUCGGUAUAGUGGGACCGUAUGUGUUUGAUGAAACGGUGAACGGUGAGAGGUAUCGCAAAAUGUUAAACGAGUUUCUCAUUCCUGAAUUGAAACGCAGACACAAGUAUAGAGUUACUUGGUUCCAACAGGAUGGCGCUACCUGUCAUUCCGCAACGGACACGAUUUCUUUAUUGCGUGAGCAUUUUGGUCAUCGAAUAAUUUCGCUGGACACAGAAAUUUCAUGGCCACCUCGAUCCCCUGAUUUUUCAGCAUGUGAUUUUUUUUUAUGGGGUUACCUCAAGUCAAAAGUAUAUCAAGAUGAUCCUAGGACUCUGAAACAGCUCCUAGAUAAUAUUAUUCGUGAAUCAAGACUGAUUAGAAGAGAAAUGCUCAACAAAGUGUUCAAUAAUUUUAAAAAACGUUUGGUCGAUUGUGUCAAAAAUGAUGGAAAACAUCUUGGUGGAAUAAUUUUUAAAACUUAAUUUAUAAUGAAAACUCAAAUAUAUGGUCUAAAAACGGCACAUUUCUACUUCAUUUUGGUUAUAAAAAAAUUUCCGUAACCAUUUUUCUCUCAGAGCUACUAAUAAAACAAAAGUGAAAGGUUAUUCUGGAACACCCUGUACAAAGUGUAACAAAUGUAGAUAAUACAUAGAUCUUAGGUAGGUAUUUCAAAACUUUUUUCAGAUUCUGAAUUCAUGUAACCAUGUUUGAAGUAGACAGUUAUUCGACGAUGGGACUUCUGUGAUGAGGAAACUUUCUUUCACAACCCAUCAGCUCCAAUCAAGCCAAAACGAAACUAAAGCUAUACCGAGGUUGAGUUUGCAAUUUCUGGCGAAUGUUUUUUCAUACAAUGAUAAUAGAGUAUUGUGUAGGUGUAAAGACAAUAGGUAGAUAACGUAUCUUUUUAAAAUUUUAUUUUUCAGUUAUCAAUGUCAUUCUCAUUUGUUCUUGCUCUUAUUUUUCAAUCUCUUUUUAUUUUAAAUUACAUAGAUCUACUUACUGGUCGAGUUAUUUGUAUUUAAUUGUUGAUUUGAAUUAAAGAAUCAUUAAUGAAGAAAUUCAUUUAUACGGAAAAAUGAAACAAUAAAAUUGUUGGUGUGUGCGGUGAUACUACAUUCGAGUGAUGAAAUAGGUACCUACCUACUUACAUACCCAUGUAUUGUCCAGAAAAAAUUCCUAGCUUGGGGGGGGGUCUUAGUUAGCGACAGUAGUAGACGGUACUAAAAAAAAAUAUUUCCGAACGUCAGGCGUGACGCGGUCUUUAGCGUCUAUUGUGCUAGUAAUCUUCAAUGUUACCAACCUACUUUGUGACUCGAAAAUUAUCGCGAACUAAAGAGGUUUAAUGCUACAUAUAAGUCGGGGAAUAUUCCUAAUACAAUCAACUUUUUCAUACCUAUCAUAGGUACCUACCCAAAAUGUCUCAUUUUACAUUGGCCUUAAUGAACGAACCUUAAUGCCAAAUUCCAAGGCUGCAGAUGCUUAAAGUGGACUCAACUCAAAUUAACGUAUUUCAAAUUUGAGGCCAUUCUACAUAAAUGCAUUCAGGGUUUUGGAAUUUGACAUCGAGAUUUUGCAGGCGAGCCGAUUCUACCGUGUAUUGAAAAUAUCUCAUUAAAAGUUAUGUAGGUAUGAGUACAUUUGCUCGCAUCCGUGGGUUCACGUUACACCAGCUUUUGCAAUCUCUUGCCGUCACUGAAUACUUAGGUUGCUAUAUUGUAAUCACAAGUAAAUGUACUAUGUACUUAAACACGAUAAAAAGAUAAAAAUAGGUGUACGUAAUUACGUAUACCGUCAACAACUUAUUGCGGUAGUUUGAUGCAAAAAUACACGCGUCGGUAUCACUAUAUAACUACCUACUGAAGCUGAAGAGUGCAGUUGUGGAGGAAAUUGAAGUAUUGUGGUGUUGACGUUCGAAAAUAUCAACAAUUUUAACCAAAAUUGAUAGAUUUUUCACCUACAUCAAGUAUAAGUAAUUAUAUUUAUCUAUCUGCGAAGAUGACGAGCAUGAAAUUAAAUAUGGAAAAGAUACCCAAAUUAACGUUGUGGAAUAAGUGGAAGAGACCAGCAUCCAUUCCUUACCCAAAUACGUGGCAUAAAUUUACAGCAAAAUCAAAAGAUGGUAAAGAGUUCAAAAUAAAAAUUGUAGAUGUAACUCCGGAUAGAUUUGAAGAAAGCUUGGAAUUCAUACGAGACUAUUUGUAUUCAAAUGAGCCUCUAUGCGAAUCUGUGAAAAUGUUAGAAGAUGAAAUAAGUCUCCAAAAUGAAUUGGCCAGACAAAAUGCAUUCUUACAGCAGCGUAUCACUAUCAUGGCUGUAUUAGAUGAAGAUGUUCCGAAACCGGAAAUGAUCGCAGUACAAAAGCUGUUUGUUGCUUCCAAAGAUGAUGAUCCUGAACCAGAAUUAACUGGAAAUGCAAUGAGUAAACUUGAGAAGAUAAUUGAAGACCUGUAUGCGAAUCAAGAUCAAUUCGAAAUUCACGGAACUGACGCAGUUUUAAAAGGAUUCGGUUUAUGUGUGAAACCGAAUUACUGGGGAAUGAAUAUAGGCUACAACAUUGUACUCUGUUUGGAAAAAAUAGCCAAAGCUUAUGACUUGAGAGGAUGUAUGACUAUGUAUACUAGUAUUUAUUCUCAAGCUAUAGUUACAAAAGCUGGAUUCAAAGUAUACAACGAGAUAUUCUACGAUGAUUAUAAAGAUGAAAAAGGUAAUGCGAUGUUUCCCAAUGUACAUACUAAAUCGAUCAAGUUGAUGGGAAUGAAGUAUUCGUGACCUGCAGGAGUGGUUGAAAUUUGAUGCAAUUUAUGAUCUCUUUUUCAAAGAUGUUGAAGUCAUUAUUUUUUCAGGUUGAGAAAAAUGAAGUUCUGUGGAAGUAGGUAACGUAAAAAUUUUGCAUUAGAGACAUUCCCGGGAGGGACGGUUGCCUUUCUCAACUUGGAUAAAUAAAUAAUUUUGCUAUCUUCGGAAAAAAAAUAUUCAAUCAAGUUCUUUAAUAAAUAGCGCACUUACGAAUUGCAUUUUACCUAAUAAAGUUUUUUUUCAAUCCUAGAGAAUCAUAAAUUGUAAUAUGAAAAUUUAUUCAUAUCUACCUACCUGUGUAUGUAUUUAAUCCAUACUUUCAUUUUAGAAUUAAAGGAGCUAUAAGUAUGAUUAAAAUAUUCCCUUAAAGAAUUUUCAGAAUGCUACCAAGUACUUACUUGAAAAUUUAUUGGGACAGAGAAAAUCUUAUUUAUGAUAUAGGCUACUUAUUUAUUAUUAAUUUAAUUUCUAAUUAUUUGUUGUGUUUCUUCGAAGAAAAAAAUUGUCAAUUUAUACAUGUGUAACAAAUGUAAUAUGUACAUCUUAGUUAGAUAGGUAAGUAUUUCAAAACCUUUUUCAGAUUCUGAAUUCAUAUAACCAUGUUUGAAGUAUAGUAGACAGUUAUCGGUUAUUCGACGAUGAGACUUCUAUGAUGAGGAAACUUCCUUUCAUAACCCGUCAGCUCCAAUCGAGCAAAAACGAAACUUAAGCUACCGAGGCCGUUGAGUUUGCAAUUUUUUUUUUAAAACAUUGAUGAUGAUAGAGUAUUAUGUAAGUUUUUUAUUUUAAAUUACAUACCUACAUACUAGUUUCGA
Molecule: RNA transcript, 5611 nt
Organism: Planococcus citri (citrus mealybug)
Lineage: Eukaryota; Metazoa; Arthropoda; Insecta; Hemiptera; Pseudococcidae
Exons: 6
Source: RefSeq, a predicted model, not a curated record